RNAcentral lists this ribosomal RNA (285 nucleotides) under Claviceps purpurea (ergot fungus). RNAcentral describes it as "partial large ribosomal RNA". Lineage: Eukaryota; Fungi; Ascomycota; Sordariomycetes; Hypocreales; Clavicipitaceae. The record is from RNAcentral.
UAAUGUUAAGAUAUAUAAUGAUAAAUUAUAUUAAAAUGAAAGUAUACAAAGAAACUAUUAUGGAAUUAAAGCUAUGAAAUUAAAGAGAAGAAUUUCCAAUAUAGGUUAAACUCAAAGAGAAAUCGAGUAAAAAACGAAGUGAACUGAAAUAUCAAAGUAGCUUUAGGAAAAGAAAUCUCAGGAGAUUCUAUGGGUAGCGAGAGCGAGAGUAGAGAAGGCAGAAAGUAAAACGGAAUAAGAGAUUUUGUUUAAAAGAGGUGAACCAUCAUCGAAGCCUAAAUAUAG